RNAcentral lists this ribosomal RNA (254 nucleotides) under uncultured bacterium. RNAcentral describes it as "partial 16S ribosomal RNA". It matches the Rfam family "Bacterial small subunit ribosomal RNA", at positions 524 to 776 of the family's 1533-position model. The record is from RNAcentral.
UACGGGGGGAGCAAGCGUUGUUCGGAUUUACUGGGCGUAAAGGGCGCGUAGGCGGCCAGCACAAGUCAGUUGUGAAAUCUCCGAGCUUAACUCGGAAAGGUCAACUGAUACUGUGCGGCUAGAGUGCGGAAGGGGCAACUGGAAUUCUUGGUGUAGCGGUGAAAUGCGUAGAUGUCAAGAGGAACACCUGCGGCGAAGGCGGGUUGCUGGGCCGACACUGACGCUGAGGCGCGAAAGCCAGGGGAGCGAACGGG